This 486-nucleotide ribosomal RNA is filed under the name Triticum aestivum (bread wheat). Its description in RNAcentral is "partial small subunit ribosomal RNA". Lineage: Eukaryota; Viridiplantae; Streptophyta; Magnoliopsida; Poales; Poaceae. The record is from RNAcentral.
AUGAUCCGCCUCGUUUCCCGGCGGAAUCUCGUCGCCGCCACGGCCAUCCGAUGGUCCCCCGCCACGCUCGCUUCCAGGUGGCUGCACACGCCAACAUUUGUGAUGGUGAGGUCUCUGGUCAAGCCCAUGGGAAAUGCAGAAUUUCGCCAUUUUUGGAGAGUUUAUCUAUAUGCCCAAAGCAUGUACUUCACAACCCACUUGGAGCUCCAGAGAGAAAACAAUGAGUUGGGGCGCGGCAGGAAGGGGAGCAUCACCAGGGAGAAGAAAAUGUAUUGUGGGAAAAAGGACAGAGAUCCCCGAGCUUUUGCGAGAGGGGAUGGAGCGGCGGCUGCGUCGACCCGACCAGUUGCAAGUGGAUGGAGCGGUGGCUGCACGGACAUGCUCCUGGAGGUGCCGGUAUGCAGCCUCAUUUUGAGCCUGGGAGGAUCCUCGCCCUGUCCUGGCCUCAAGGGUGCUCAUCUACUUGUUAUCGUGCUCUGCAGUUAG